Molecule: long non-coding RNA, 1109 nt
Organism: Ochotona curzoniae (black-lipped pika)
Lineage: Eukaryota; Metazoa; Chordata; Mammalia; Lagomorpha; Ochotonidae
Exons: 3
Source: RefSeq, a predicted model, not a curated record
UUUCAAUAAAAAUAAUAAAUACAUCUUUAAGAAAGAAAAAGGAAGGAAAAAAAAAAGCUGGGAGUAGAUGAUUUCAACUUAGCCAGCCUUACCACCUUUGUGCUGGCCUGUUUUUUGUUGCUGUCACUGUCACAAACCAGGGUGGCUCAUAAACCAAACAUGGUCAUUUGCUGCAGUGUUGGUGGCCUGGAGGUCAAAGGUCAGAGGAUGGAGUCUGGUGGAAGGGGGAUCUGUCCUUGGCCAAGGACAAGCCUGGGGCAGCUCGGACAGCUCUCUGCAAAGAGUGUAUUGACUAUUUCUUUAACAGGCAGAAUGACAGACACCGUGUCUCUGCUGGUUCACUCCCCCAAGUCCCCCAGUAGUCAGGGCUGGGCUGAGACCAGAGCCCACGGGCUGGGCCUCACCCAGCUCCAGCCAUUGGACACCAUUUGGAGAAUAGAUGUACAGACGGGAAAAUCUUUCUCUGUCUCUCUCUUUUUGUAACUCUGCUUUUCAGAUAAAUAAAACAGUGAAACACUGAAUGACCCUCUGACCCUGCCAUUCCACUGCUGGGGCUCUCCAUAGGAGAAUGGAAUAUUUGUAUACCAGGGCUUGCUGCAUCACCGCAGAAACUUAGCAGAUGAACGCAUGAGCAAAACGCGGUCGGCCCCUGCGGUGACAGGAUUACUCCCCUGUCCUGGGAGAUGCUCGGACCUGGACUUCCCAGUAUGGUAGCCACCAAGCACUGGCCACGGCUGAGCUCCUGCCAUCGGCUAGGCCACCUAGAGCUGAAUCUAAGCACAGCAUACCUGGCAGAGAAACAACGGCAUAGAGAAUAUUCUAUUGUCUGGUUCAAUUCCCAGGCUAAAGCUGGGAGCUUGAAUUCAGUCUGAGUCUCCCACGGGAGUAGCAGAGCCUCAAGCAGUUAAGCCAUCGCUUGCUGGUCCUCAGGGCGCGCAUGAGCAGGAAGGUGGAAUCGGAAGCCAAGCUGGAAUCGAACUGAGGCAUUGUGAUACAGGCUGUGGGUGUCCCAAGCCAUGGCUUAACCACAGCAUCAAACACAGGCUCUAACAGGUGUCAAGGUUGAGGCAGUUGCCCUAGGCAGACCCUAGGAAGACCCAAGGCUAGAU